GAUGAACGCUGGCGGCGUGCCUAAUACAUGCAAGUCGAACGAACAGACGAGGAGCUUGCUCCUCGGACGAUUGCGGCAGGCGUGUGAGUAACACGUGUAUCCCCUACCUAUGCGAGUGGGAUAACUUCGGGACACCGGAUCUAAUACCGUAACAUAUAUUGUACCGUAUGGUUCAAUUAUAAAAGACGGUUUUGCUGUUACUUAUAGAUGGAGCCGUGCAGGAUUAGCUAGUUGGGAAGGUAACGGCCUAACAAGGCGACGAUUCGUAGCCGACCUGGGGGGGUGAUCGGCCACCCUGGAACUGAGCCAGGGCCCAGAGUCCUAGGGGAGGAGGCAGUGGGGAACCUUGCGCAAGGGGCGAAAGCCGGACGGAGCAACGCCGCGGGGGUGAUGAAGGUCUUCGGAUCGUAAAACUCUGUUAUAAGGGAAGAACAAAUGUGGAAUUAACUAUGCACGUCUUGACGGUACCUAAUCAGAAAGCCACGGCUAACUACGUG
This 497-nucleotide ribosomal RNA is filed under the name uncultured bacterium. RNAcentral's name for it is "partial 16S ribosomal RNA". It matches the Rfam family "Bacterial small subunit ribosomal RNA", at positions 28 to 507 of the family's 1533-position model. The record is from RNAcentral.